AAAUGAAUAGACGGGGGCCCGCACAAGCAGUGGAGUAUGUGGAUUAAUUCGAAGCAACGCGAAGAACCUUACCAGGUCUUGACAUCCCUCUGACCGCUCUAGAGAUAGAGCUUCUCUUCGGAGCAGAGGUGACAGGUGGUGCAUGGUUGUCGUCAGCUCGUGUCGUGAGAUGUUGGGUUAAGUCCCGCAACGAGCGCAACCCCUAUGAUUAGUUGCUACGCAAGAGCACUCUAAUUAGACUGCCGUUGACAAAACGGAGGAAGGUGGGGAUGACGUCAAAUCAUCAUGCCCCUUAUGACCUGGGCCUCACACGUACUACAAUGGUCGUUAACAACGGGAAGCAAAAUAGCGAUAUGGAGCAAAACCCCAAAAACGAUCUCAGUUCGGAUUGUAGGCUGAAACUCGCCUGCAUGAAGCUGGAAUUGCUAGUAAUCGCAGAUCAGAAUGCUGCGGUGAAUACGUUCCCGGGCCUUGUACACACCGCCCGU
Molecule: ribosomal RNA, 488 nt
Filed under: uncultured bacterium
Lineage: Bacteria
Description: bacterial SSU rRNA
Rfam family: Bacterial small subunit ribosomal RNA
Source: RNAcentral